Molecule: ribosomal RNA, 440 nt
Filed under: uncultured bacterium
Lineage: Bacteria
Description: partial 16S ribosomal RNA
Rfam family: Bacterial small subunit ribosomal RNA
Source: RNAcentral
CCUACGGGAGGCAGCAGUGGGGAAUAUUGCACAAUGGGGGAAACCCUGAUGCAGCGACGCCGCGUGAGUGAAGAAGUAUUUCGGUACGUAAAGCUCUAUCAGAAGGGAAGAAAAUGACGGUACCUGACUAAGAAGCCCCGGCUAACUACGUACCAGCAACCUCGGUAAUACGUAGGGGGCAAGCGUUAUCCGGAUUUACUGGGUGUAAAGGGAGCGUAGACGGCCGCGCAAGUCUGGAGUGAAAUCCCAUGGCUUAACCAUGGAACUGCUGUGGAAACUGUGCAGCUAGAGUGCAGGAGAGGUAAGCGGAAUGCCUAGUGUAGCGGUGAAAUGCGUAGAUAUUAGGAGGAACACCAGUGGCGAAGGCGGCUUACUGGACUGUAACUGACGUUGAGGCUCGAAAGCGUGGGGAGCAAACAGGAUUAGAUACCCUUGUAGUC